UGGUGUAUAGCCAAACUAGGUAAGGCACUGGUUUUUGACGCCAUUACUUAAAGGUUCGAAUCCUUUUACACCAG
This 74-nucleotide transfer RNA is filed under the name Phymatolithon calcareum. RNAcentral describes it as "tRNA-Gln". It matches the Rfam family "tRNA". From Rfam's summary of the family: Transfer RNA (tRNA) molecules are approximately 80 nucleotides in length. Their secondary structure includes four short double-helical elements and three loops (D, anti-codon, and T loops). The record is from RNAcentral. Lineage: Eukaryota; Rhodophyta; Florideophyceae; Hapalidiales; Hapalidiaceae.